UACGGAGGGUGCAAGCGUUAUCCGGAUUCACUGGGUUUAAAGGGUGCGUAGGUGGGUUGGAAAGUCAGUGGUGAAAUCCCCGAGCUUAACUUGGGAACUGCCAUUGAUACUAUCAGUCUUGAAUAUCGUGGAGGUUAGCGGAAUAUGUCAUGUAGCGGUGAAAUGCUUAGAUAUGACAUAGAACACCAAUUGCGAAGGCAGCUGGCUACACGAAUAUUGACACUGAGGCACGAAAGCGUGGGGAUCAAACAGG
RNAcentral lists this ribosomal RNA (253 nucleotides) under uncultured bacterium. RNAcentral's name for it is "partial 16S ribosomal RNA". It matches the Rfam family "Bacterial small subunit ribosomal RNA", at positions 524 to 776 of the family's 1533-position model. The record is from RNAcentral.